Molecule: ribosomal RNA, 720 nt
Filed under: Viridibacillus sp.
Lineage: Bacteria; Bacillati; Bacillota; Bacilli; Caryophanales; Caryophanaceae
Description: bacterial SSU rRNA
Rfam family: Bacterial small subunit ribosomal RNA
Source: RNAcentral
UGCAGUCGAGCGAAUGAUGAAGAAGCUUGCUUCCUUCUGAUUUAGCGGCGGACGGGUGAGUAACACGUGGGCAACCUACCUAGUAGAUUGGGAUAACUCCGGGAAACCGGGGCUAAUACCGAAUAAUCCAUUUUGUCACAUGGCAAAAUGCUGAAAGGCGGUUUCGGCUGUCACUACUAGAUGGGCCCGCGGUGCAUUAGCUAGUUGGUGGGGUAACGGCCUACCAAGGCAACGAUGCAUAGCCGACCUGAGAGGGUGAUCGGCCACAUUGGGACUGAGACACGGCCCAAACUCCUACGGGAGGCAGCAGUAGGGAAUCUUCCACAAUGGACGAAAGUCUGAUGGAGCAACGCCGCGUGAGUGAUGAAGGUUUUCGGAUCGUAAAACUCUGUUGUAAGGGAAGAACAAGUACGUUAGUAACUGAACGUACCUUGACGGUACCUUAUUAGAAAGCCACGGCUAACUACGUGCCAGCAGCCGCGGUAAUACGUAGGUGGCAAGCGUUGUCCGGAUUUAUUGGGCGUAAAGCGCGCGCAGGUGGUUUCUUAAGUCUGAUGUGAAAGCCCACGGCUCAACCGUGGAGGGUCAUUGGAAACUGGGAGACUUGAGUGCAGAAGAGGAAAGUGGAAUUCCAAGUGUAGCGGUGAAAUGCGUAGAGAUUUGGAGGAACACCAGUGGCGAAGGCGACUUUCUGGUCUGUAACUGACACUGAGGCGCGAA